AUUGAACGCUGGCGGCAUGAUUUACACAUGCAAGUCGAACGGUAACAGGCCGCAAGGUGCUGACGAGUGGCGAACGGGUGAGUAAUGCAUCGGAACGUGCCCAGCCGUGGGGGAUAACUACUCGAAAGAGUAGCUAGUACCGCAUACGAUCUAUGGAUGAAAGCGGGGGACCGUAAGGCCUCGCGCGAUUGGAGCGGCCGAUGUCAGAUUAGGUAGUUGGUGGGGUAAAGGCUCACCAAGCCAACGAUCUGUAGCUGGUCUGAGAGGACGACCAGCCACACUGGGACUGAGACACGGCCCAGACUCCUACGGGAGGCAGCAGUGGGGAAUUUUGGACAAUGGGCGCAAGCCUGAUCCAGCAAUGCCGCGUGCAGGAAGAAGGCCUUCGGGUUGUAAACUGCUUUUGUACGGAACGAAACGGCUCCGGUUAAUACCCGGGGCUAAUGACGGUACCGUAAGAAUAAGCACCGGCUAACUACGUG
Molecule: ribosomal RNA, 482 nt
Filed under: uncultured bacterium
Lineage: Bacteria
Description: partial 16S ribosomal RNA
Rfam family: Bacterial small subunit ribosomal RNA
Source: RNAcentral